UAAUAUUGUAUACUGCUUUUCACUUGGAGGCUAUGCAACAGAGCAAGACCCUGAAAAAAAUAAGAAAACAGAAAAGACAAGAAAAGAAAGAAAGAAAGAAGGAAGAGAGAGAAACUAUCAUGGUUUUCCAGUUGGGCUAAAUGAGUCAGUACAUGUACUUAUCAAAUGGAAAUGUUGAGUUGAGUUUCUCAAAAAAUCAAAAGGCACAUCCCCUCCUGAGG
RNAcentral lists this long non-coding RNA (221 nucleotides) under Homo sapiens (human). RNAcentral's name for it is "HSALNT0179495". The record is from RNAcentral. Lineage: Eukaryota; Metazoa; Chordata; Mammalia; Primates; Hominidae.